Molecule: microRNA, 22 nt
Filed under: Eptesicus fuscus (big brown bat)
Lineage: Eukaryota; Metazoa; Chordata; Mammalia; Chiroptera; Vespertilionidae
Description: efu-miR-9188b
Source: miRBase by way of RNAcentral
UUCUGAAAGGCCUGGUGCUGGA